GAUGAACGCUGGCGGCGUGCCUAAUACAUGCAAGUCGAGCGAACAGACGAGGAGCUUGCUCCUCUGACGUUAGCGGCGGACGGGUGAGUAACACGUGGAUAACCUACCUAUAAGACUGGGAUAACUUCGGGAAACCGGAGCUAAUACCGGAUAAUAUAUUGAACCGCAUGGUUCAAUAGUGAAAGACGGUUUUGCUGUCACUUAUAGAUGGAUCCGCGCCGCAUUAGCUAGUUGGUAAGGUAACGGCUUACCAAGGCAACGAUGCGUAGCCGACCUGAGAGGGUGAUCGGCAACACUGGAACUGAGACACGGCCCAGACUCCUACGGGAGGCAGCAGUAGGGAAUCUUCCGCAAUGGGCGAAAGCCUGACGGAGCAACGCCGCGUGAGUGAUGAAGGUCUUCGGAUCGUAAAACUCUGUUAUUAGGGAAGAACAAAUGUGUAAGUAACGAUGCACGUCUUGACGGUACCUAAUCAGAAAGCCACGGCUAACUACGU
RNAcentral lists this ribosomal RNA (496 nucleotides) under uncultured bacterium. RNAcentral describes it as "partial 16S ribosomal RNA". It matches the Rfam family "Bacterial small subunit ribosomal RNA", at positions 28 to 506 of the family's 1533-position model. The record is from RNAcentral.